CUGCUCACUUCAGCAACACAUAUACUAAAAUUGGAAUGAUGCAGAGAAGAUUGCCAUGGCCCCUGUGCUAGAAUGACACACAAAUCUAUAAGCUGCUCCAUAUUUUU
This 107-nucleotide small nuclear RNA is filed under the name Pavo cristatus (Indian peafowl). The record is from RNAcentral. Lineage: Eukaryota; Metazoa; Chordata; Aves; Galliformes; Phasianidae.